This 72-nucleotide transfer RNA is filed under the name Ovis aries (sheep). It matches the Rfam family "tRNA". From Rfam's summary of the family: Transfer RNA (tRNA) molecules are approximately 80 nucleotides in length. Their secondary structure includes four short double-helical elements and three loops (D, anti-codon, and T loops). Further hydrogen bonds mediate the characteristic L-shaped molecular structure. tRNAs have two regions of fundamental functional importance: the anti-codon, which is responsible for specific mRNA codon recognition, and the 3' end, to which the tRNAs corresponding amino acid is attached (by aminoacyl-tRNA synthetases). tRNAs cope with the degeneracy of the genetic code in two manners: having more than one tRNA (with a specific anti-codon) for a particular amino acid; and 'wobble' base-pairing, i.e. permitting non-standard base-pairing at the 3rd anti-codon position. Lineage: Eukaryota; Metazoa; Chordata; Mammalia; Artiodactyla; Bovidae. The record is from Rfam by way of RNAcentral.
UUCCUGGUGGCUCAGAGAGUAAAGAAUCUGCCUGCAAUGCAGGAGACCUGGGUUUGAUCCCUGGCUGGGGAA